Molecule: ribosomal RNA, 471 nt
Filed under: uncultured bacterium
Lineage: Bacteria
Description: SSU rRNA
Rfam family: Bacterial small subunit ribosomal RNA
Source: RNAcentral
AGGAUAAACGCUGGCGGCGUGCAUGAGACAUGCAAGUCGAACGGACGAUCAGGGCUUGCUUUGAUCGUUAGUGGCGGACGGCUGAGUAACGCGUAGGUGACCUGUCCCGAAGUGGGGAAUAACUGCCCGAAAGGGUGGCUAAUACCGCAUGUGGUGGUGCGAUCAAUCGCAUCAGUAAAGCCGCAAGGCGCUUCGGGAGGGGCCUGCGUCCGAUUAGCUCGUUGGUGGGGUAACGGCUCACCAAGGCGACGAUCGGUAGGUGGUCUGAGAGGACGAUCACCCAGACUGGGACUGAGACACGGCCCAGACUCCUACGGGAGGCAGCAGUCGGGAAUUUUGCGCAAUGGACGAAAGUCUGACGCAGCAACGCCGCGUGAGGGAUGAAGGCCUUCGGGUUGUAACCUCUUUAUCAGGGAAGAUAAUGACGGUACCUGAUGAAUAAGUCACGGCUAACUACGUGCCAGCAGCCGC